GUGAGAUUAUUCGCUAAACCUCCGUUGUGGUCGGCGGCCACAAAACCCUGAAAGCGCUGCUAGGCUUCGCCCCUUCUUCUUCUUCGUUGCCAUUAGGGAACGCAGCUGAAGAAGAGCCUAUAACUUUUCUCUCAGUUCUUCUUCCUCUUGCACUCUCUGCGCCUCUUAAGCUUCGGGACUUCUCGGAGAGUGACUGCAAAAUAUGGGAAUAUUUGAACCUUACAGAGCAAUUGGUUACAUUACCAACAGCGUCCCCUUCUCUGUGCAGAGACUCGGAACCGAAACCUUCGUCACCGUUAGCGUUGGCAAAGCUUUUCAAGUUUAUAAUUGCGCGAAGUUAAACUUGGUGCUCGUUGGCCCUCAAUUGCCGAAGAAGAUUCGAGCUCUUGCUUCCUACCGUGAGUACACGUUUGCUGCUUAUGGGUCUGACAUUGCAGUUUUCAAGCGUGCUCAUCAGGUAGCAAAUUGGAGUAGCCAUAAUGCCAAGGUCAACUUGUUGCUAUUGUUUGGAGAUCACAUCCUAAGUGUUGACAUUAAUGGAAAUAUGUUCAUGUGGCAUUUCAAACGGAAUGAAGAUAGUCCUUCUCCAGUUGGACAAGUCACACUAGAAGGACAAUUUAGUCCUAGCUGUAUAAUGCAUCCAGACACAUAUCUAAACAAAGUUAUGCUUGGAAGUCUGGAGGGUUCUUUGGAGCUUUGGAACAUCAGCUCAAAGAAAAAACUCUACGAGUUCAAGGGAUGGAAUUCAUCCGUAUGCUGUUGUGUUUCGUCUCCUGCUCUAGAUGUUGUUGCCAUUGGCUGUGCUGAUGGAAAGGUUCAUGUUCAUAACAUUCGUUAUGAUCAAGAAUUAUUUUCGUUCACACACUCAACACGAGGAUCUGUUACUGCCUUAUCUUUCAGCUCAGAUGGACAGCCUCUUCUAGCAUCUGGAGGUUCAUCAGGUGUUAUUAGCAUAUGGAAUCUUGAGAAGAGAAGACUUCAAUCGGUCAUUAGAGAAGCUCAUGAUAGCUCAAUAGUUUCACUUCACUUUUUUGCUAAUGAGCCAGUCCUGAUGAGUUCAUCAACAGAUAAUUCCAUCAAAAUGUGGAUUUUUGAUACAACAGAUGGAGAUCCUCGUUUGUUACGCUUUCGCAGUGGACAUAGUGCCCCUCCUCUAUGCAUAAGGUUUUAUGCAAAUGGGAGACACAUUUUAUCUGCUGGUCAGGAUCGUGCCUUCAGGCUUUUCUCUGUAAUCCAGGAUCAGCAAAGUAGGGAGCUUUCUCAACGGCAUGUGGCUAAACGUGCGAAGAAACUAAAACUUAAGGAAGAAGAAAUAAAGUUGAAGCCCGUCAUAGGUUUUGAUUGUGCUGAAAUUAGAGAGCGUGAUUGGUGCAAUGUGGUUACAUGUCAUGUUGAUACUCCACAAGCAUACGUAUGGAGACUUCAAAACUUUGUUCUCGGCGAGCAUAUCUUGAAACCAUGCCCAGAAAACCCGACGCCAAUUAAGGCUUGUGCAAUCAGUGCAUGUGGAAAUUUUGCUUUCUUAGGGACAGAAGGUGGUUGGAUUGAGCGAUUCAAUCUUCAAUCGGGUGCUAGUAGAGGUAGUUACUUGGAUAAAAAGGAAGGAAGAAACGCUGCACAUAUUGGAGAAGUUGUCGGUCUUGCUUGUGAUUCUACAAAUACCCACGUUAUAAGUGCAGGAGUUGGUGGAGAUAUAAAGGUUUGGAAUUUCAAGGAGCGUGAUCUAAAAUCCAGAUGGGAAAUUGGUAGUUCUGUUGUGAAGAUUGUCUAUCAUCGAGUAAAUGGACUUUUGGCAGUGGUAACUGAUGAUUUGGUUAUCCGUCUGUUUGACAUUGUGGCUUCAAGAAUGGUUCGUAAAUUUGAAGGUCAUACAGAUCGUAUAACAGAUUUGUCUUUCAGUGAGGAUGGAAAAUGGCUUUUAACAUCUAGUAUGGAUGGAAGUCUUAGAAUUUGGGACGUCAUUUUAGCAAGGCAAAUCGAUGCACUACAAGUUGAUGCUUCCAUUACUGCAUUUUCUAUUUCUCCAAAUAUGGAUAUCUUGGCGACUACACAUGUAGAUCAAAAUGGAGUCUACCUCUGGGUGAAUCAAUUAAUGUUCUCUGGUUCAUCAAACGUGGAUACCCUUGCAAGUGGAAAGGAUAUUGUUAAUGUUAAAUUGCCAUCAGUCUCCUCCACAGAAGGAAUGGAGUUCGAAGAUCGCAACGAGAAUCCUUCAAAACCUCCUGAAUCUAAAGAUUUAUCAGGCUUUCACAUCUCUAGCCAGCAAAUCCCAGAUUUAAUUACACUUUCACUGUUGCCCAGAAGUCAGUGGCAGAGCUUGGUCAAUUUGGACAUAAUAAAGGCCCGUAAUAAACCAAUCGAACCUCCAAAGAAACCCGAAAAGGCUCCUUUCUUCCUGCCAUCUCUUCCUUCUCUCUCUGGAGAAAUACUAUUUAAGCCUUCUGAGUCAGCAAACACAGAGAGAGCAGAAAAGGGAGUUGAUAAUGAAGAACACAAAAAAUCGGAUAUAACAUCGUCUCAAUUCUUGCAGAUUCUUGAAUCUUCUUCUGAAGUACAGAACUUCUCAGCCUUUACUGAUUACAUAAAGGGUUUAUCUCCAUCAACAUUGGAUUUGGAACUUCGCAUGCUUCAAAUUAUAGAUGACGAUGAGCGUCAAGAACCCGAAAAGAGACCUGAACUUAUUUCAAUUGAAUUGCUUCUUGAUUAUUUCAUACACGAAAUUACUUGCCGCAACAAUUUCGAGUUCAUCCAAGCCUCUAUCAGAUUGUUCCUGAAGAUACACGGCGAGACGAUUCGUUGCCAGUUGACAUUGCAGGAAAAGGCAAGGAAACUCCUGGAUAUUCAGAGCUCAGUAUGGCAAGGUUUGGAUAAAAUAUUCCAAUCCUCUAGAUGUAUGGUUACUUUUCUUAGCAACUCACAGUUUUAGGUGUUGUGACUUGGUUGGUUCAUCGUAGAAUCAUGAAAGAUCAUAUUAUUUAUUGCUGUUGUAGAUUAGUUUUUUUUGGGGGGAGUUCAUCAUAGUGGCUUAAAUCAGAGAGAGGGAUGUUUGUUUUGGCUUAAUAUUUACUUCCAACUUAGAUGAUGAGUUAAUUAGUGGUUAAGUAGUAGGUGUAAAUUGUAUAACAUGAUCCAAUUUUGUCCAACAUUGCUGGGUAUCAUUAUAAUUUUUCCUUUGAGAAUACAAACUUUGCAGCCAAGCGGCAUUUCUC
Molecule: RNA transcript, 3209 nt
Organism: Cucurbita moschata (crookneck pumpkin)
Lineage: Eukaryota; Viridiplantae; Streptophyta; Magnoliopsida; Cucurbitales; Cucurbitaceae
Gene name: U3 small nucleolar RNA-associated protein 21 homolog
Exons: 20
Source: RefSeq, a predicted model, not a curated record